This is a long non-coding RNA of Prosopis cineraria, 282 nucleotides long. RefSeq lists it as uncharacterized. Lineage: Eukaryota; Viridiplantae; Streptophyta; Magnoliopsida; Fabales; Fabaceae. The record is from RefSeq and is a predicted model, not a curated record. The transcript has 3 exons.
ACGCCGUGAAGACCUCCGUUGCAGCCGUGUGUCAUUGUUGUACAGCUGAGGAAGCAACGCCUCAAAGACCUCUGCUACUGCCGUGAAGACUACACUGUGAAGGUACCUACACAAUUACAAGGUUAGGAGUGUGGAUACUAUGUUAUGAAGUUUAUGAGAGAAGUAAUCACACAACAAGAGUUGAUCAUUCCUGAAAAUCAUUUUGUUGGAGUAAGAUGUUCGCAUUUUACUAUGGAGCAAAUAGAAGAUUUAGUUAAAGAGUUGUCAGAAUAUAUUGUGGGC